Molecule: ribosomal RNA, 410 nt
Filed under: uncultured Ceratobasidiaceae
Lineage: Eukaryota; Fungi; Basidiomycota; Agaricomycetes; Cantharellales; Ceratobasidiaceae
Description: eukaryotic LSU rRNA
Rfam family: 5.8S ribosomal RNA (bases 1-107)
Source: RNAcentral
GAAAUGCGAUAAGUAAUGUCGAAUUGCAGAAUUCAGUGAAUCAUCGGAAUCUUCGAACGCACCUUGCGCCCUUUGGUAUUCCGAAGGGCACGCCCGUUUGAGUGUCAUUGUAAUCUCACCUCCAUGGUUUCUUAUCAUGGUUGUGGAUCUGGAUGUCGUCGGCAUUGUUCGACCCAUCUGAAAUGUAUGAGUGUACCCUGCUGUGCAGCGUAUCUGGUGUGAUAACAUCUUCACCGGAGUAAAGCCUCUUGGCACGUCUGAACUUUGGGCUCUAUGCUUCUAACCGUCCAAGUGACAAUCUUUGACAAUUUGACCUCAAAUCGGUGGACUACCCGCUGAACUUAAGCAUAUCAAUAAGCGGAGGAAAGAAACUACAAGGAUUCCCCUAGUAACCUGAGCCAAGGCACACA